Molecule: small nuclear RNA, 144 nt
Filed under: Octodon degus (degu)
Lineage: Eukaryota; Metazoa; Chordata; Mammalia; Rodentia; Octodontidae
Description: U2 spliceosomal RNA (ENSODEG00000022358.1)
Rfam family: U2 spliceosomal RNA (bases 1-108)
About the family: U2 is a small nuclear RNA (snRNA) component of the spliceosome (involved in pre-mRNA splicing). Complementary binding between U2 snRNA (in an area lying towards the 5' end but 3' to hairpin I) and the branchpoint sequence (BPS) of the intron results the bulging out of an unpaired adenosine, on the BPS, which initiates a nucleophilic attack at the intronic 5' splice site, thus starting the first of two transesterification reactions that mediate splicing.
Source: RNAcentral
AUCGCUUCUCAGCCUUUUGGCUAAUAUCAAGUGUAGUAUCUGUGCUUAUCAAUUUAAUAUCUGAUAUUCCCUCUCUCUGAGGACAGCAUAUUAAAUCUGACACCGCCAGGCCCAUGGAUAACCCACUACUAUUAUGGACUACUG